RNAcentral lists this ribosomal RNA (448 nucleotides) under uncultured bacterium. Its description in RNAcentral is "SSU rRNA". It matches the Rfam family "Bacterial small subunit ribosomal RNA", at positions 26 to 518 of the family's 1533-position model. The record is from RNAcentral.
AGAACGAACGCUGGCGGCAGGCCUAAUACAUGCAGGUCGAGCGGGCGUAGCAAUACGUCAGCGGCGGACGGGUGAGUAACACGUGGGAACAUGCCCUUCGGUACGGAACAACUCAGGGAAACUUGAGCUAAUACCGUAUGAUCCGGCAACGGCAAAGAUUUAUCGCCGGAGGAUUGGCCCGCGUCCGAUUAGCUAGUUGGUGAGGUAACGGCCCACCAAGGCACCGAUCGGUAGCUGGUUUGAGAGAACGACCAGCCACACUGGGACUGAGACACGGCCCAGACUCCUACGGGAGGCAGCAGUAGGGAAUCUUGGACAAUGGGGGAAACCCUGAUCCAGCCAUGCCGCGUGAGUGAUGAAGGCCUUCGGGUUGUAAAACUCUUUCGACGGGGACGAUAAUGACGGUACCCGUAGAAGAAGCUCCGGCUAACUUCGUGCCAGCAGCCGC